CCACUGAGCCAGGAGCUGGCUGCAUCAGAGUUCCCGACCGGCCUGGUGCUGGGGCUGCAGCCAUGGAGAGCGGGGAAUGACUGCUGGGUCCUUGCGUUCAGAUUUGCUUCCCCCAGUUGGGAUAAAUGGGAAGGAAAGGAGCUGGCUGCUGUGCUGUGCAGUGCCGGGGAGAGCAGAUGUUGUAAGGAGAGGCUAGGAAAGCAAGAGUGAAUGGCCUGGCGACAGUAACCGUGAUGAGAACUGAUGCUGCCACGCGCGUGCUUGCAAGUCGCAGAGUCCAGGCUCGGUUAGGUGGGAAGCAAACAAAGAAGACCGAAAGGCAAAUCGCCAGAGGACUGGGCAAAGUGACCCUGGUUGAAGGGCUUGUGUUUAUCCACCACUACAUCUUGCAUCAGUGUGAUGCCAGUUGCUCCCAUAUAAAUGUGCCGUCUAUCCAGACACGUGAGAAGCGGAUGAACUUCUACAUUCGGGAUGCUCUAUGUUGCAGCCAGAACCGAUAAGCCGGCACCUGGCUACCGUGGCUGGGGGCUCACUUUCUUACCCUCUCCACCUCCUGAUGUACCUCUGCAUUCAUUUCUGUGGGUUCAGUACUAGCUGCAGAGCCCAGGCGUGAGCGUGUUUGCUGUGGGCUGGACUAGAUGACGCAGCGCUCCCUUGGAACUGGCCCGAGUUGGAAAGUGGGUCAGUUAAAUUUGGUUCUGGAUAAGGGCCGUGCCCAGGGAGCUGAUGAGUGCUCUGUGCCUAGCUUCUGUCUGGCUAUAGAAACUCCCCAUCUUCUUUCCCCCCCCCUUCUUUUUUUUAAAGGAAAAUGUCAAAGGAAAGGGCUUCAAAUGGAACCGGCCCUCGAGUUAGCCUUUAAAAAUCCUGCUGCUUCAAGGUAAUAUUAUCUCUUUCUUCUCUGGAAAGGCCCCUGAAGGCCCAGUUUCCUUGGUCUUUGGUCCUGGCUUUGUUCCCUCCAACUCACUUCACCCUAGGCUUUCUCUGCCAGGGUGACCUCCCUCCUCUUCCCAAGCCCUGCGGGUCUGAUGUGCUGCACUUCCCCAGUUGCCUUCCUUUCAGUGGGAAGGCUGGGGCAGGGACGCACGUGUCCCACUGCUCCUUCCCACAUCCCAGCUCGUGCAUCAUUCCCUGUGACCAUCCCCAGUAGCUCACUUUGGCUUCCCCACUACUCUUGCACUCCUAGCUACUUGGAGUGAGCAGGGAUCAACUAGAAAGGGCCUCAGGAUCUGCAGACCUCCUUGCUGGGUUCACUCUGUCUCCUGACAGCCACUCUCCACCAGCAGAGCCUGGCUCUAGCCCCAGCACCUGCCUGGGGAUGCAGCAGGCAGUGAGAUCGACACAGCACGAGGAAGCCUCUGCUUCACCAAGCUGAGGUCCCUGGCCUGCUUGCACCUGCUCCCUUCUUCCCAGAGUGUGCACUGAUGAGAGCCAAGCCUGGCUCCCAGUAGGAGUCACUGGACUCUGUCCAACUUCUCCCAGGCAUCUGGGAGCCGCCAUCCUAGCCAGUGCCCAUUGCAGCUAGGAAGCAGGGGCUCAGUGUUGCACCGUGGUGUUCAGGGCCAGGCACCUCCCCUUGUCCCGCGAAUCCCCGGUACAAAUCCUGCAGCGCUGACCCCCUUGGGUCCUGCGUGGGCACUACACGUGUUCCCAGAAGUGUGAGGGGCUGCAGCUUGGGCAUCCCGUUGUAUGUGAGCAGCAGCUUGGGGCAGCUCAGUCCUGUUCUGGAGAAGUGGUCUGGCUGGUACCAGAAAUGCCCAGCCCAUGUCCCUUCUCAUCAGUGGGGCUUGAAGAGAUGAUGGACAGGGCUGUCUGCCAGAUAGAAGCCCUGCUUUUUUAUUAGGGGAGCAGACAUGGCAGACCUAUGCUCUCUUGGCUUUAGUUCUUCAGCCUUCUCUGAACUCUUAUUCCUGGUGAAAUGGCUAUGCCUAAGCCUGCCUUUGUCCCAGAUGUUGCAAUGCAUCCUCCGUGAGGGAGCACAGUUCUGGGUCACUGAGCUCCUGGCAGCAGGGGGUUUGGGCAGCAAGUGCUGAGGCUUCAGGAGUUGGGAGAUUAGUGUUCAAGUCCCCACCUUUAAAGGUCUGAUUUCCUCAAACACAGCUGUCUGAGGAGCUACCGUGUCUGUGCAGGCCUUUUCAUUUUACUACUUGGAGAUCUUGAUUUGCAAAGGGGCAUCCUGAGGUCCCUCUGUCCUAGGCAGUUGAGAACAACUGGGCAGUGAGGCCAAAGCACUUCCCACUGGCCCCUCUCCCCAGGGCAGAGCAGGGAGUCCUGUCCUGGCCCGUCCCAUCCAGGUGCCCCCAAACGCGUGAAUCAUGCCUUGAUCUCUUGCUCACAUCUACACUGGGAUUGCCUGGGGGGAGUCUGUCCAAACUCCUUUCCUGUAGGUGCCCACUGUUGCAGUCUCCUGGCUGGAUCUGAACCAACAGCAUGGAAGCGAAAGGCUCCGUAACCCAAUACCAAGCCAGCCUCCUCCUCACUGCACCAUUGAAAUGACCAGCCGGGCUGGUGACAAACCUGCUCCAUGGCUGUCACUACACAUCGUGUUGCACUGGCAGCAGGAGAGGAACUCGGACCCUUCUGCUCCAGCAUCCUGGGAUGGGAGCUCGUGGAGAGUUGCCUUUAGUGCCAUGCCCCCAGGCCUAAAGCACAGCUCUGACCCCAUCUAACAGAGGGCAACAGUGCAUGCAGACACUAGCAUCCCAUUCAUUAGCCAAGGGCCAAGCAUCUUAGCUCUCCCAGUGUCCUUCAAACCCAUUCAGAGACUGGAAAUACCCGUGCUACUGAUUCCCCCCCAGCCAAGCUGCUUGUCUCGGCUGCUUAUCUAGGCUCCCUCUUGCUCUUGUAAAGAUUUUUCUCUCUCUUGCUCAACAGUCCACAAUUGGAUGCAACUGGUCGCUGGGAAUGGGCCCCUCUCACACUCUAGUCCCAUACAAAAUAGCCGCUUAGCCUCCCUGCUUGCCUGCCGGCUUCCUGUCUCUUCUAAAUGCACCUCUUCAGAAAUGUUGAAAGCAAACCCGGACUGAAGCAAGACUUAAUUCCAUCCCAGCUCUUUGGACAGACACGCCAGCCUCCGGUUCCCUCGCUCCAGCUUGCAAAGGGCUCCGAGCUGAUUAGAAUCCGGGGGAGGAAAUUGGAACCUGCCUGUUCCUUAGCUGCAGUGCGGAGAAGGGCGAGCACAGCGAACGCCCAAAUUUCACCUGCUUCCCCGUUAUCCUCUGCUGGCCGAGUCACGGGGCCUUGCCCUUCCCUGCCUUAACUUCUUCCCAGUUGAAGGAAAGGUUAGCUGAGAUCACACAGCCAGCCGGAAGCCCAGAUUCCAAGUCCCUGGGGCUAAUUAUGGAACAACAUUAGAUAAAAGUCAACAUAUGUUGUAAAAGGCACUAUGUAUCACUGCCUGACAGCUCUUAACAAUAUGCUCAUGUAACAGCUGUCAGACUGCAACGCUAGAAAAUGAGUAAUAUGUUGAUUUAUGUAUAUCAGAUCUGCCCUUACGUUCCCCAACAACAACACAAAAAGCUCCUGUACUAUCAGCUUUGCAGGGGUUGGAGAAGAAGUUGUUUCUUGAAGGUGCUUUUGGAGAUGGCCUUGGCUCACCUCUCUUCUGUUAGCUGUUUGGCUAGGGUUUUCAACAAGUCCAGGUGUGAGUGAAAGCAGGAACUGGCAGAUCUAGACCAACUGCAUAGGAGCAAAUAGACUCGCCCUGGGGAUGCUCAUGAGAAUUAUAGAGAUUAUGGGAGCAGUAGCCACUAAGGUUCAAAUUCCAUCCUCG
Molecule: long non-coding RNA, 3769 nt
Organism: Alligator mississippiensis (American alligator)
Lineage: Eukaryota; Metazoa; Chordata; Crocodylia; Alligatoridae
Exons: 3
Source: RefSeq, a predicted model, not a curated record